GUUUUGUAGGAGUUGAAAGACUGAAACAGCGUCGUAUUAGGACGAUGAGCUAUCAUCAUCUGCCACUCUUUCUCAGUUUCUCCGUCUCUCGCCGGCGAUCGAUUCGCCGAAAAGCCCCACUACCCAGGGUAAAGCACAGAGGCUUCUUCACCGAACCAAGGCUCUAUUGUGAAACUGGUCUGAUCUCCCUUCACAAACACCGCGUGGUUUAUAGACUUGAAAACAUCGAUGGGAACUGGAGAGUACGCAAAAAGAACAUAUCUUUUAAUUCAGCAAAUGAAAAAAAAUGGUAAUAAAGAAUUUAAACGACUUCUUGGUGAAUUGUGGUAUGUUAUUAAUUUCUAACCUUGGAUGCUUUUAAGGAUUUGCUCUUCUGAUAUGUGAGUCUUCUCAAGAGACUUGCCGAUCUUUUUCUCCCACAAGGUGACCAUUUCGUUCAUCGAUAAAAUGUUGUUAGGAGGACUAAUGUAGAGGGUUUUGUUCAGAGUCCUUAGAUCAUCCACCGCCUUGAUCAUGAGGAACAUUUUUGUCGCCAAAGAUGAUGGCCUUGUCUCUAGUAUGAGAAAUGAGACCAGACUCGAACUGAAGUAACGUACGCAAGUAAAAACCGGCAGAGCAAUUGCUAACAACGUAAGUGUAUGGUAUUCCUUCAGCUUCAAUGGCUCUCCUGAUCUGUACCUUCCCUGCAAAUAAUGAUUUUGCCGGCUCAACCGCACUGGUCCUCUCAACGUCUAUCCCAAACUCAGCCGGCAAGAAUCUCUGCAAAGCAAAAACUAUAAAUCUAGUAAGAGGUUAUGUUCAGCUGGAUUUUUUCUCAUAACUAUUUUCAGUUAGAUCAUAUGCUAAUCGGAUUGCCAUUUAUAUGUAUUGAGGUUUGAAUCAAAUACCAACCUUGACGUUACCAGCUUCUUUAAUGGCGGAAAUGAUCUUGGUUUGAUCAAAGAUUUGCUUGUGCCCGAUGGUUGAUAUCACCACAUCAACCUGUUUAAUGGCCUUAACUAAGCUCUCAUGAUCAUUCAAAUCUCCCUGUCCAAGUUACAUAACUAGGUUAUGGUUUUGAGUUUGUAUGAAACAUGUUAGAGAGUGAGAGUUCAUGCAUACGUGUAGUAUUGUGACACCGAGAUCUUUGAAGCUCUGGAUGGUUUUGCUCUUGACAGGAUCAGAGAGAGAUGCUUCUCGGACAAGAGCGAAUGUUGGGUUACCGGCUUUCGCGCUCCCUUCAACGAUGAAUUCUCCCAUGUAACCAGUCCCUCCGAUCACCAGAAUCUUGCUUUUCUCCGUCGUCAUGUUUCAAACGUGGGUAAAGCUCAGAGGCUUCAAAACCGAAUGAAGGCUCUAUAGUGAAAUUGGUCUGAUCUCCUUUCACAAACACCGCGUGGUUUAUCGACAGAAGAACGUUGAAGGGAACCGGAGACUCUGCAAAAAGAGAAAGAUCUUCAUAUUCUAGAAAAUGAAAAAACGGUAGUUAUAAAGAAUCGAAAGACCUCUUGGUGAAUUGAUUUUCUGAACCUUGGAUGCUUUUAAAGAUUUGUUCCUCUGACAUGUAAAUCUUCUCAACAGACUUGCCAAUCUUUUUCUCCCA
Molecule: long non-coding RNA, 1582 nt
Filed under: Arabidopsis thaliana (thale cress)
Lineage: Eukaryota; Viridiplantae; Streptophyta; Magnoliopsida; Brassicales; Brassicaceae
Description: potential natural antisense gene, locus overlaps with AT1G75290 and AT1G75300 (AT1G75295)
Source: RNAcentral